RNAcentral lists this ribosomal RNA (607 nucleotides) under Pedobacter sp. Ri2Pw_5903. RNAcentral describes it as "bacterial SSU rRNA". It matches the Rfam family "Bacterial small subunit ribosomal RNA", at positions 395 to 1002 of the family's 1533-position model. The record is from RNAcentral. Lineage: Bacteria; Pseudomonadati; Bacteroidota; Sphingobacteriia; Sphingobacteriales; Sphingobacteriaceae.
UGCCGCGUGCAGGAAGACUGCCCUAUGGGUUGUAAACUGCUUUUAUCCGGGAAUAAACCUAAGUACGUGUACUUAGCUGAAUGUACCGGAUGAAUAAGGAUCGGCUAACUCCGUGCCAGCAGCCGCGGUAAUACGGAGGAUCCGAGCGUUAUCCGGAUUUAUUGGGUUUAAAGGGUGCGUAGGCGGCCUGUUAAGUCAGGGGUGAAAGACGGUAGCUCAACUAUCGCACUGCCCUUGAUACUGAUGGGCUUGAAUGGACUAGAGGUAGGCGGAAUGAGACAAGUAGCGGUGAAAUGCAUAGAUAUGUCUCAGAACACCGAUCGCAAACGCAGCUUACUAUGGUCUUAUUGACGCUGAGGCACGAAAGCGUGGGGAUCAAACAGGAUUACAUACCCUGGUAGUCCACGCCCUAAACGAUGAACACUCGCUGUUGGCGAUACACAGUCAGCGGCUAACCGAAAGCGUUAAGUGUUCCACCUGGGGAGUACGCUCGCAAGAGUGAAACUCACAGGAAUUGACGGGAGCCCGCACAAGCGGAGGAACAUGUGGUUUAAUUCGAUGAUACGCGAGGAACCUUACCCGGGCUUGAAAGUUAGUGAAUGAUCUA